RNAcentral lists this ribosomal RNA (200 nucleotides) under uncultured bacterium. RNAcentral's name for it is "partial 16S ribosomal RNA". It matches the Rfam family "Bacterial small subunit ribosomal RNA", at positions 1301 to 1500 of the family's 1533-position model. The record is from RNAcentral.
CAGGCUGCAACCCGCCUGCGUGAAGUUGGAAUCGCUAGUAAUCGCGGAUCAGCAUGCCGCGGUGAAUACGUUCCCGGGCCUUGUACACACCGCCCGUCACACCAUGAGAGUCGGGAACACCCGAAGUCCGUAGCCUAACCGCAAGGGGGGCGCGGCCGAAGGUGGGUUCGAUAAUUGGGGUGAAGUCGUAACAAGGUAGC